This 253-nucleotide ribosomal RNA is filed under the name uncultured bacterium. Its description in RNAcentral is "partial 16S ribosomal RNA". It matches the Rfam family "Bacterial small subunit ribosomal RNA", at positions 524 to 776 of the family's 1533-position model. The record is from RNAcentral.
AACGUAGGUGGCGAGCGUUAUCCGGAUUUACUGGGCGUAAAGAGCGCGCAGGCGGUCGUUCAAGUCGAGUGUGAAAGCCCCCGGCUCAACUGGGGAGGGUCACUCGAUACUGAUCGACUCGAAGGCAGGAGAGGGUAGUGGAAUUCCCGGUGUAGUGGUGAAAUGCGUAGAUAUCGGGAGGAACACCAGUGGCGAAGGCGACUACCUGGCCUGUUCUUGACGCUGAGGCGCGAAAGCUAGGGGAGCAAACGGG